UCUCCGUAGGUGAACCUGCGGAGGGAUCAUUACUGAGUGAGGGUUUACCCGCCCGACCUCCAACCCUUUGUGAACCCAUCUUGUUGCUUCGGGGGCGAUCCUGCCGGCACUCUGUCGCCGGGCGCCCCCGGAGGUCUUCCAAACACUGCAUCUUUGCGUCGGAGUUUAAACAAAUUAAACAAAACUUUCAACAACGGAUCUCUUGGUUCUGGCAUCGAUGAAGAACGCAGC
RNAcentral lists this unclassified non-coding RNA (231 nucleotides) under uncultured fungus. RNAcentral describes it as "sequence contains ITS1, 5.8S rRNA gene". The stretch from base 183 to 231 matches the Rfam family "5.8S ribosomal RNA", at positions 1 to 49 of the family's 154-position model. Lineage: Eukaryota; Fungi. The record is from RNAcentral.